RNAcentral lists this ribosomal RNA (253 nucleotides) under uncultured bacterium. RNAcentral describes it as "partial 16S ribosomal RNA". It matches the Rfam family "Bacterial small subunit ribosomal RNA", at positions 524 to 776 of the family's 1533-position model. The record is from RNAcentral.
UACGUAGGGUGCAAGCGUUGUCCGGAAUUAUUGGGCGUAAAGAGCUCGUAGGCGGUUCGUCGCGUCGGCUGUGAAAACCCGGAGCUCAACUCCGGGCCUGCAGUCGAUACGGGCGGACUCGAGUUCGGCAGGGGAGACUGGAAUUCCUGGUGUAGCGGUGAAAUGCGCAGAUAUCGUAAGGAAGACCAGUGGCGAAGGCGAGUUCCUGGACAGUUGCUGACACUGAGGCACGAAGGCUAGGGGAGCAAACGGG